This 310-nucleotide long non-coding RNA is filed under the name Gallus gallus (chicken). Lineage: Eukaryota; Metazoa; Chordata; Aves; Galliformes; Phasianidae. The record is from RNAcentral.
GGAAGCCCUUCAGCCGCACUUCCAAGCUGUUUGUAAAAUCUGUAUUCUAAAUGGAGUUGUGGUGCACGUGAUUUUAUUGGUUCCAGUUUGAUUGCUACGUAUUCAUUGGUGUAGAGAUUUUUGCCUAGUCUGAGCUCGCCAAAGUUCCCACACCCAAUCUUCUUGCCCACUCUGAAGUUGGGUCCCACCAUAAGAACACCAGAAGAUGCAGACGAGCUCGGCCGAGAGCCGUGACCGCUCCUCCCGGGCAUCCCUUUCGUCGUCCGCUGCCUUUCAUCCUUUUCCCUAUUGGGAUGGUCCAUGAUCUUAG